CCAAGAUUGCAAGAUUGAAGGGGAUCCAAGAAUAGAGAGCAAGACAUAGAAGAGACAUACGGGAGAAACUUGGUCUGCAACAAUGUAGUUCUUUCAUCUUCUUAGUAGUAGGUUAGUUUAGUUUAGCUAGUAGUUCAUCCUUUCUUGUUAUUAGCUAGAUUAAGAAGAAGAUGGAGGAUGAAGAAGGCAAGGAAGAAAGCUCAUGUGACAAGGGUUGUAUUCCUUCCAAAAUCUUUAUCUUUUGUACUUGAUUCUAAGUUUAGUUAAUAUACAAGUUCUGGAUUUUG
This 287-nucleotide long non-coding RNA is filed under the name Coffea arabica (coffee). RNAcentral's name for it is "long non-coding RNA (CARA_LNC003734)". Lineage: Eukaryota; Viridiplantae; Streptophyta; Magnoliopsida; Gentianales; Rubiaceae. The record is from RNAcentral.